AAAUCCUUAAUGUGUCAUUGAGGAUAAGGUAAGGGAAAAUAAUGAUAUUACCUUACUAUUAGUGUCGUCCAAAACUCGUGCCAGAAGACUCGGUAAGGCGAGAGACGCAAACGUUAAUCAUCUUGAUCAGGCGUAAAGGGUGUGUAGGCUGUUUAAGUUAAAAUUUAUUUUUAAUGUAUACUAGAAUCUAAAGGAGGUUAAAACAAUGCUUUUUAUUAUAAGUGUUCGAACUUUAGAAAAAAAGUAGAGUGUUAAAGGCGAAGGCUUUUUCCCAAUAAAGAUUGACGCUGAGAAACGAAGGGGAGGGCAAAAAAAAGGAUUAGAGACCCUUGUAUUCCUCUCUGUCAACGAUGAAUGGUAGUCAUGAGAUAGAAAUAAUCUUGAGGCAAUGUUAACACGUAAAACCAUUCCGCCUUGUGAGUACGACUGCAAAGUUGAAAACAAAAAAAUUAGUCGGUUUCG
This 462-nucleotide ribosomal RNA is filed under the name Fuscoporia ferrea. RNAcentral describes it as "partial small subunit ribosomal RNA". It matches the Rfam family "Bacterial small subunit ribosomal RNA", at positions 420 to 921 of the family's 1533-position model. The record is from RNAcentral. Lineage: Eukaryota; Fungi; Basidiomycota; Agaricomycetes; Hymenochaetales; Hymenochaetaceae.